Non-coding RNA from Pelobates cultripes (western spadefoot toad), 300 nucleotides. The record is from the annotation of a GenBank genome assembly. Lineage: Eukaryota; Metazoa; Chordata; Amphibia; Anura; Pelobatidae.
CACAGCUCUGUCUGUUCCUGCUUGACCCUCAAAACGGAGCCUUGUCUCGUUCUUGGGGGGGAUUUAUUGUAUGCUGUUCCAUUUUGACUGAUAGGAGUGUAAACCUAUUCCUAUGAUUUUUCCUAUUCGGCUGUUUACGGCAUUCAUAUGGUUUCCUGUUCGGCGGAUUGGUGUUCUGCAGUAGCUGUGCCUGUGUCUCUGGAAGGGAAGAUCUACUAAACGGCUUUUAACCCCUUUUAUGCCUGGGGGUGCCGUUACAAGUUAUACAGGCUACACAAAACAUGGCACCCAGUGAGAAAC